Molecule: transfer RNA, 73 nt
Filed under: Sphaerodactylus townsendi
Lineage: Eukaryota; Metazoa; Chordata; Lepidosauria; Squamata; Sphaerodactylidae
Description: tRNA-Ala
Source: RNAcentral
UCCGGUUGACUCAGCCUGGGAGAGUAUCUGCCUUGCAUGCAGAAAGUCUCGGGUUUAAUUCCCAGCAUCACAA